RNAcentral lists this ribosomal RNA (227 nucleotides) under Enterobacter hormaechei. RNAcentral's name for it is "partial 23S ribosomal RNA". It matches the Rfam family "Bacterial large subunit ribosomal RNA", at positions 2704 to 2925 of the family's 2925-position model. RNAcentral also lists the same sequence under 1 other name. Lineage: Bacteria; Pseudomonadati; Pseudomonadota; Gammaproteobacteria; Enterobacterales; Enterobacteriaceae. The record is from RNAcentral.
CAUCACUGGUGUUCGGGUUGUCAUGCCAAUGGCACUGCCCGGUAGCUAAAUGCGGAAGAGAUAAGUGCUGAAAGCAUCUAAGCACGAAACUUGCCCCGAGAUGAGUUCUCCCUGAGACUUUAAGUCUCCUGAAGGAACGUUGAAGACGACGACGUUGAUAGGUCGGGUGUGUAAGCGCAGCGAUGCGUUGAGCUAACCGAUACUAAUGAACCGUGAGGCUUAACCUU